Molecule: long non-coding RNA, 1404 nt
Organism: Mauremys reevesii (Reeves's turtle)
Lineage: Eukaryota; Metazoa; Chordata; Testudines; Geoemydidae
Exons: 4
Source: RefSeq, a predicted model, not a curated record
AUCCAGAGCUAUGCCCAUGUUACAGCUGGGGGGACGGGACCCUAACGCCCUUUGGCAGGGGCUCGGGAAAUGCACCCGGCCCUGUGAAGUGGAGCCGCUCACGUCUGCCCAGCAGAAUGCAGAUUCAAGCAGCACCGUUAGCUGGUGCGUUGCAGACCGGAGGCUGCAUUUUGGCACGAGGCUGCUUUAGGAAACAGCUUGGACUGCUAGGCACAAAGGCCCAGAUCUUCAAAGAUGUAUUAAUGGCUCAGUCCUCCCUUUAUCCUGGGGCUUUCCAAGCUGGGGAGCAAGGGGGUUUUCCUGCGGCGGUUGGAAGGUUCCCCAUCUCCACGCCCAGCAUCCUGUCUCUGUCUGACCUCAGCCUUCCCCACAAGCCCACAGAGCUUUUCCCGGGGGCCCCAGUUGCCGGCAUGAAGCGCUUACAGUCCAAUACAAACACCUGGCCAGCGCAGGAAGACGUGGUGGCGGGAAGAGACACAGCCAGGCAGGGUGUCUGCACAGGAAGACGUCUCCGAAGAAGUUCCUGAUCCCGACGGUUGCAAAGCAAACCUUGAAAACGUGCCCCGAUUGGCUCAAAGGCGGAGCUGUCUGGCUGAGUCUGCAGACAGCCCGAAACAAGGGCUCUGAGAUGUGAACUGCCCCAUUCCCCACACCAAGGGGUUAAAUGGGACUCUCGGAGAGAACUGUUUCAAUGGCAACAUUGCUAAGGAUUUCACUGCGGAUCAUUGCAGCAAACACGCCCGGCUAGUGAGCCCACCCCACAAUUGCUGCUCCUCGCUGCCCCCCAACUGCCCCUUACCCACCCACCCAGCCUCCCCCAGGCAGCUUCUAAGGUGCAAACAGGCCUUGAGGCCUUGGGGGGGCAGGGGCAGCAGACUGACCUUCACAUCACGGGGCUGCUGGCCUGAUUCAUUUCCCGAUUGACUCCACUAACCCCCACCCCCACACCCCCAUUUAGAUGGGCCCCCGAUUUCCGGCCUGCCCCACCGCCUGGCUGCAAAACGUAGCCGGAUCCCCUGCAGCCCUAUCGGUGGCCCUUUCACAUCUGGCCGCACUGCAGCGGCUGGGGGAUCGGCUGCGGCUUUGCACCAAGACCAGGGGCGUCUAAUCAGGGAGCCCCCCCAACGAGGCGGGGGGGGACUGUUUUUAAGGCCCAUUCCCAGCUUGGGCCUGGUUUUAAAGCAAACUUUGAACCAAGCCGCCUGGUUGGCGUCCCAGCAUCUCCCCCCUCUCCGGCCCCCGGGAGCAGGAGUCCUGCGGCGGGGGGAGCAGCUGUCAAUCAUCGCUCCAGCUCCCAUUCAGUCCUUGACGGUGAUUGUGUAGGGCUCUGAGCCGGACUGCACCAACCUGACCCAGGGAAACGGGGGUGGGGGGCAGGCGGCGCCGGCAGCCAGCCGGGCCAUC